ACCCGCACAAGCAGCGGAGCGUGUGGUUUAAUUCGUUGCUACACGAAGAACCUUACCUGGGUUUGACAUAUAGGUUGUAGGGAACUGAAAAGGGACCGACCCUUCGGGGAGCCUAUACAGGUGUUGCAUGGCUGUCGUCAGCUCGUGUCGUGAGAUGUUCGGUUAAGUCCGCUAACGAGCGCAACCCUCGUCGUAUGUUAUACGUGUCAUACGAGACUGCCGGUAAAAGCCGGAGGAAGGUGAGGAUGAUGUCAAGUCAGCAUGACCUUUAUAUCCAGGGCUACACACACGCUACAAUGGUCUGUACAAUGGGUAGCCAAGCCGCGAGGCGGAGCCAAUCCUGAAAGCAGGCCUCAGUUCAGAUUGCAGUCUGCAACUCGACUGCAUGAAGCCGGAGUUGCUAGUAACCGCAGGUCAGCAAUACUGCGGUGAAUACGUUCCCGGGUCUU
RNAcentral lists this ribosomal RNA (449 nucleotides) under uncultured Anaerolineaceae bacterium. Its description in RNAcentral is "bacterial SSU rRNA". It matches the Rfam family "Bacterial small subunit ribosomal RNA", at positions 919 to 1382 of the family's 1533-position model. Lineage: Bacteria; Bacillati; Chloroflexota; Anaerolineae; Anaerolineales; Anaerolineaceae. The record is from RNAcentral.